UUUCGCUGCCCACCCACAUCUUUUCCACAUCACCUUGGUGUCUCCCUAAAUAAAACCAGCCCUCCUUAUCGCACCGAGGAAAUCAAGAGCAAGAGUUUGAAUGGAUUUUAUAUAAAUAUUUAUCCUGACGAAGCUACUGCUGAGCUUGUGGGAUAAACUCGCAGCAGCUGGUCUCACUCUGCUUCCUUCGGCUGCUCCUGAAAGGGUUUAAUUACUUUGGAGAGGAGAGGGAGAGAUCCAGAUCCCAGUUCUGCCUCCAGACUGACCCAAAAAGCAGGACCAGGAUUUAAAUGAACUAUGGAUCUGAAGGACAGCACCAGCGAGGGCAGCAUGGACAGCCUGCAGCCUUCCAGCAUCCAGAUUUUUGCCAACACCACCACGCUCCAUGGGAUCCGUCAUGUCUUUGUCUACGGGCCGGUCACCAUCCGGCGCCUGCUCUGGACCUUGGCCUUUGUGGGCUCGCUGGGUCUCCUCCUGGUGGAGAGCUCGGACAGGGUGGCCUUUUACUUCUCCUACCAGCAUGUGACCAAAGUGGACGAGGUGGUGGCAAACAGCCUGGUGUUUCCCGCUGUCACCAUCUGUAACCUCAACGAGUUCCGCUUCUCCCGGCUCACCACCAAUGACCUGUACCAUGCUGGGGAGCUCCUGUCUCUGCUGGAUGUCAACCUGCAGAUCCCCAACCCUCACCUGGCUGACCCUGCUGUUUUAGCCACCCUCCAAGAAAAGGCCAACUUUAAGCAGUAUAAACCCAAAGUUUUUAGCAUGCAAGAGUUCCUGGCACGGGUUGGCCAUGACCUGAAGGAUAUGAUGCUGUACUGCAAGUUCAGAGGCCAGGAGUGCAGCCACAAGGACUUCAAAACUGUAUUUACAAAAUAUGGGAAAUGCUACAUGUUUAACUCAGGAGAGGAGGGGCGGCCUCUCCUCACCACAGUGAAGGGGGGCACAGGGAAUGGCCUGGAAAUCAUGCUGGACAUCCAGCAGGACGAGUAUCUGCCCAUCUGGGGAGAAACAGAGGAGACGACGUUCGAGGCCGGAGUCAAAGUGCAGAUCCACAGCCAGUCUGAGCCUCCCUUCGUCCAGGAGCUGGGAUUUGGGGUGGCCCCUGGAUUCCAGACCUUUGUGGCCACUCAGGAGCAAAGGCUGACGUACCUGCCCCCGCCGUGGGGCGAGUGCCGCUCCCCGGAGCUGGGGCUGGCGUUUUUCCCGGUGUACAGCGUCACGGCCUGCAGGAUCGACUGCGAGACCCGCUACAUCGUGGAGAACUGCAACUGCAGGAUGGUGCACAUGCCAGGGGACGCUCCCUUCUGCACCCCGGAGCAGUACAAGGAGUGCGCAGAGCCCGCGCUCAGUCUCCUGGCAGAGAAGGACAGCAAUUACUGCAUCUGCAGGACCCCCUGUAACCUCACCAGGUACAACAAGGAGCUCUCCAUGGUCAAGAUCCCCAGCAAGACCUCGGCCAAGUACCUGGAGAAGAAGUUCAACAAGUCGGAAAAAUACAUCUCAGAGAAUAUUCUCGUGCUGGACAUUUUUUUUGAAGCACUCAACUAUGAGACCAUUGAGCAGAAGAAAGCCUAUGAAGUGGCAGCCUUACUUGGUGACAUUGGUGGCCAGAUGGGGCUGUUCAUCGGGGCCAGCAUCCUCACCAUCCUCGAGCUCUUCGAUUACCUGUACGAGCUGAUCAAGGAGAAGUUGUUGGACCUUCUUGGAAAAGAGGAAGAGGACGGGAGCCAUGACGAGAACGUGAGCACCUGUGAUCCAGUGCCAAACCACUCGGAGAGCCUGAGCCACACUGUGACCGUGCCCCUGCAGGCCCCGCUGGGGACGCUGGAGGAAAUCGCCUGCUGACCCCUCCCCACCACAGUGCCCAUCCCGAGGAAGGAAAACUGCACAGGGAAAAACAGGGACCCAGCUCAGUGAGAGGCGCCUUGGACCUGACUCCUGUUGUCCUUUCCUCCUGGGGGUUUGGCUCCAACCUGGGAAGCAGCUGCCAGGCUGGGAGAGCUGGGAAUGUUCACCUGGAAAAGGGAAGCUCAGAGAAGAGAAACCUCAGAGCCCUUUCCAAUGCCUAAAGGGGCUCCAGGAGAGCUGGAGAGGCACUUGGCACACGGGAUGGAGGGACAGGACACUUUUUGGGAUUGUCCAGGCCUGAGCAGCAGCAGCAGCAGCAGCAAAUCCCAAAGGAAGCAUCCCAAAUAUCCCAAGCACUGCACGCCAGGGCUUUGCCUGGCCCCAGGAUUCCUCAGCUGCCUCUCUCAGCUCUGUUCCUCUUUGCAGUCCCUGGGUUUCAGUGCCAGAAGGAGCAUCCCAGAAUUCUCCAUUCCCAGCGCCGUAGGCUGAGAGUUUUAGAAUAAAAGAGAUCCCAAAGUCGGCGCUCUCGGAUUCUUCUCCCGGUCGCGUCCUCUGGGUGAGGUUGGGCUGAAUCCCAAGCUCAGCCCAAGGUGAGCAUCCCUGGAGAGGAGCCACAGGGAUCCCUAUGGAUCAUCCCAGCCCUGCUCCUCCUCCUGCAGUGCCUGCAGAGUCCGGGAGCAGCAGGUGGGGUUGGCUUCAAUCAUUUCUUUAAUUUUUGGGGGGAAUUUUUGCAAUUUCCUUCUUCUCCCAUUCAUGGAUUCUGUGCUUUCUCCUCGUUCUCCUGACUGAUAUUAAAGCUGGUCUUGUGGAAAUGGC
Non-coding RNA from Taeniopygia guttata (zebra finch), 2664 nucleotides. Lineage: Eukaryota; Metazoa; Chordata; Aves; Passeriformes; Estrildidae. The record is from RefSeq and is a predicted model, not a curated record.